Molecule: ribosomal RNA, 434 nt
Filed under: uncultured bacterium
Lineage: Bacteria
Description: partial 16S ribosomal RNA
Rfam family: Bacterial small subunit ribosomal RNA
Source: RNAcentral
ACGGGAGGCAGCAGUGGGGGAUAUUGCACAAUGGGGGAAACCCUGAUGCAGCGACGCCGCGUGAGUGAUGAAGUAUUUCGGUAUGUAAAGCUCUAUCAGCAGGGAAGAUAAUGACGGUACCUGACUAAGAAGCACCGGCUAAAUACGUGCCAGCAGCCGCGGUAAUACGUAUGGUGCAAGCGUUAUCCGGAUUUACUGGGUGUAAAGGGAGCGUAGACGGCAAGGCAAGCCAGAUGUGAAAGGCUGGGGCUCAACCCUGGGACUGCAUUUGGAACUGUCUAGCUAGAGUAUUGGAGAGGUAAGUGGAAUUCCUAGUGUAGCGGUGAAAUGCGUAGAUAUUAGGAGGAACACCAGUGGCGAAGGCGGCUUACUGGACGAUAACUGACGUUGAGGCUCGAAAGCGUGGGGAGCAAACAGGAUUAGAUACCCUGGUA